CCUGAGAAACCCAAAAGAUCGAAUGGGGAGAUUCAUCGUCAGCGAUUUUGGUACGUGUGCGGCUCGCGAUGCCGGAGACUUCGGUCUCCAGGCACGCGUCCGCAUGUUUUUUAUUGCCUUAGUCGUCGGCGUGCACUUCUCCCCUAGUAGGACGUCGCGACCCGUUGGGUGUCGGUCUACGGCCUGGGUGGUAGCCUGUCUCGUGUUCGCUUCACGGCGUUACGCGGUUCAGACCCCCGGUUGCCCGACCGGCUGCCCGGCGGUACUCGCACGGUAUCUGGCCGCAAAUAUUCGAACUGCGUCCGGCCCGUCGCAAGCGAGGCAAGUGUUUCCCGGUUGUACGGAUCUAAUGCCGUCACCGGGCCUUGCCAGCUGUUGGUUGACGGUGUCCUAGGACUGGCUAAUAUAAUUAUGAUACCGGUCGGCGACGCUACUGCUUUGGGUACUUUCAGGACCCGUCUUGAAACACGGACCAAGGAGUCUAACAUGUGCGCGAGUCAUUGGGAACUAUUAAGCCUAAAGGCGCAAUGAAAGUGAAGGUCGGCCUUGCGCCGACCGAGGGAGGAUGGGCCGCGUCACGAUGCGGUCCCGCACUCCCGGGGCGUCUCGUUCNCAUUGCGA
Molecule: ribosomal RNA, 621 nt
Filed under: Cryptus viduatorius
Lineage: Eukaryota; Metazoa; Arthropoda; Insecta; Hymenoptera; Ichneumonidae
Description: eukaryotic LSU rRNA
Rfam family: Eukaryotic large subunit ribosomal RNA
Source: RNAcentral